Bicyclus anynana (squinting bush brown) is the source of this 798-nucleotide long non-coding RNA. RefSeq lists it as uncharacterized. The transcript has 2 exons. NCBI's taxonomy places the organism in Eukaryota, Metazoa, Arthropoda, Insecta, Lepidoptera, Nymphalidae. The record is from RefSeq and is a predicted model, not a curated record.
CCGCCUCGUAGCUCAGCGGCGCCUCGUGGCGCGCGCCGCGCUCCGCCUCGGGGCCCCAGCCGCGCCUGCCGAACUCACGCCCGGGGUCAUCGACACUUUGCCGAACACAAAUGUUACACACGAUGAGGUUAAAAACCGGAACUUACUUGAGAGAUCUUCUCGAAGAGCGUUUGGCGAGGUUCGCUAAAGAAUGCGGAUCUUCAGGAUGUCCGUUGGUGAGCGCUGGUAUCUCGUGAGUGAGCGAGCCAGUCCGCGAGCCGGGGCCCAGCCCCGCAGCAACAUCCAUCAGGCAGUUAAACAAGGACGCCUUCUGCACCACGGACCCAUCAUCUACUCUCCCCGUACAUUUGCGCAAUCUCAUGUACCGACCUUAGCCGCUGACUGAUGCUCUUCGUAUAUGGCUACACGAGUAUGCGCAAAUGCCCCAAACAAUACAUAUCCAUGCUGGAGUUCGUUAUGUGUUAGUAUAUCUGUUCGUGUUUUGUUCUGUGUAAGAGUUAUGAGCCAUGAAAUCGAACAUGGAAUGUAUUCAUAGUGUCUGUGAUGAUGAGAUCAGCGUUCUAAGACCUGAGAAAACUCAUGUUAUUUGCAUUACACAGCCUGAAAGUGAUGGACAUUUUGGAAAAUUUUAUGUAGUUUCGUGGAGCUGCAAAUGACACAAAGCAUAGUUGUUUAUUUUCAGUGCAUUAAAUGUGCAAUUACGAGUAUGAGACCACAGAUACUGAAUCCAUAUGACGAUUUGUAUUUGUUUUUUUAUUAGUUUAAUAUUUGAAAAAGAUUGAUUAUGCAUUAAUGGCA